RNAcentral lists this ribosomal RNA (494 nucleotides) under uncultured bacterium. Its description in RNAcentral is "partial 16S ribosomal RNA". It matches the Rfam family "Bacterial small subunit ribosomal RNA", at positions 28 to 507 of the family's 1533-position model. The record is from RNAcentral.
GACGAACGCUGGCGGCGUGCUUAACACAUGCAAGUCGAACGGAAAGGCCUGCUUUCCCUUGUGGAUUGCGGGUACUCGAGUGGCGAACGGGUGAGUAACACGUGAGUGAUCUGCCCCAAACUUGGGUAUAAGCCUGGGAAACUGGGUCUAAUUCCCGAUAGGACUGCAGGGUGGUGCCUGUGGUGGAAAACGAUUUUCUAGUGGUUGGGGAUGAGCUCGCGGCCUAUCAGCUUGUUGGUGGGGUAAUGGCCUACCAAGGCGGCGACGGGUAGCCGGCCUGAGAGGGUGGACGGCCACAUUGGGACUGAGAUACGGCCCAGACUCCUACGGGAGGCAGCAGUGGGGAAUAUUACACAAUGGGCGGAAGCCUGAUGCAGCGACGCCGCGUGGGGGAUGACGGCCUUCGGGUUGUAAACUCCUUUCGACCGCGAGGAAGCCACCUGGUUGGAAGGGUGGUGACGGUAGUGGUAGAAGAAGCACCGGCUAACUACGUG